CCUACGGGUGGCAGCAGUGGGGAAUAUUGGACAAUGGGGGGAACCCUGAUCCAGCCAUGCCGCGUGUGUGAAGAAGGCCCUCGGGUUGUAAAGCACUUUCAGUGAGGAAGAACGCCUGGUGGUUAAUACCCAUCAGGAAAGACAUCACUCACAGAAGAAGCACCGGCUAACUCCGUGCCAGCAGCCGCGGUAAUACGGAGGGUGCGAGCGUUAAUCGGAAUUACUGGGCGUAAAGCGCGCGUAGGUGGCUUGAUAAGCCGGUUGUGAAAGCCCCGGGCUCAACCUGGGAACGGCAUCCGGAACUGUCAAGCUAGAGUGCAGGAGAGGAAGGUAGAAUUCCCGGUGUAGCGGUGAAAUGCGUAGAGAUCGGGAGGAAUACCAGUGGCGAAGGCGGCCUUCUGGACUGACACUGACACUGAGGUGCGAAAGCGUGGGUAACAAACAGGAUUAGAUACCCUGGUAGUC
RNAcentral lists this ribosomal RNA (465 nucleotides) under Vreelandella stevensii. Its description in RNAcentral is "partial 16S ribosomal RNA". It matches the Rfam family "Bacterial small subunit ribosomal RNA", at positions 338 to 795 of the family's 1533-position model. The record is from RNAcentral. Lineage: Bacteria; Pseudomonadati; Pseudomonadota; Gammaproteobacteria; Oceanospirillales; Halomonadaceae.